AGUCUUAAAAGAUAGAGGAGUGUUUUCUGAAUAUGAAUAUAUUCAUUGGAUGUCCCCCUUCGCAACGAACAACUUUCAUUACUGACUUGUUUUGAUCUGAUCCAUAGUUCCCAAGAUAUCUAGAGACGCGGUAGCGUCUCGACGCCAAGUACAUGAAAAAAUAGCCUCCCCGUAUAUGCCUGGCGUUGGCGCUACCGCGUAUCUUUUACUCGAGAAAACGCGAUUCCAACCUAACCCGAAACUUCUGUCAUUAAUAUCUUGUCACGCCUGCUGUAUUUUUUAAAUCUAAAGGCAUUUUUUUCAUGUAAAUCGCACAUAAGCUUUCGAAUAAAACCAAACUCAAUAAAAUCGGUCCACGAACGACAGAGAUAUCGUAAUAUCAUAUCAUGAAUGUGUCAAAAACUGCAGCAUUUUUCUUUUCCUUUGACAAGGAAUUUUUCGUCAACACUUAGCCAAUAGGACCUAAGGCCGUUCGUCGAUUCGUCGACUCUCGGAAUCGUUCGGCAGAGUUCGUGGUGGCCACAUGCCGCUCAUUCAUAACCUGUCAAGUGUCAAAUUUUUUACACUAUUGAAUUAUUCGUGUACUUUUUUAAUUUCUUUAUACCAGCAAAAUGUUUUUAAUAUAGUAACAAAUUGCAGCCAGAGUUGUAAAGUGUUGAUUAAUUUUAAUUACAAGCAACCUGUUUUGAAUUUAAACUCUUUUGUAAACAAUUCUGGUAUCCUAAUCCAAUUUUUGGAUGAGAGGGGAGCAUACAAGCAUGGCUUUUGCUGUUAUAUGGUGUGGGCUGAACCCACAAAUCAUGAACUUGAUUGCUAUUUUUGUUUAUGCAAAAUUUUCGGAUUUAAUAGGAAAGAGAAAAGGAAUAUAAUUUAUCCGAAUGUAUCAUUUGUUAUUCGUCCUAUUGCUCAUUCCAAAGAGUUACCUAUACCUGUACCAACAUCACUAUCAACUACAACAGAAACGUACGAGAAUGCUGUAGAAGAGUCCGAAGUCAUCAUACAGAGAAUUAUGAACACGAAAUAACAGUAUCCGUGAAACUACCGCAUUUAAUUAGUCAAUCUGAUUUUAAUGAUCUUGUGCGAGAAGGAUGGAACUUAGUUGACCGUACAACAAAUAUUACAUAUUUUAGAACUCGAUCACAUAUAUUGCAGCAGUAUUUUCAUACAAACGAAGGACUUGGGAUUUGUCAAAACGAAGCUUAAAAGCUGUAUAGUACACAAUGGAAAUGUACACCCAUCUAUCCCCAUAGCAUACUCUACAAAAAUGAAAGAAUGUUACAACACACAAAAAACAGUUUUAUGCAAAAUACAGUACAGCAAAUAUGUAUAAAUGGAACGUUUGUAGAGAUUUGAAAGUAAUCAGCAUAUUGCUUGGUCUUCAAGGAGGUUAUACAAAAUAUUUUUGUUUUCUUUGGGAAUGAGACAGUCAAGCAAGAGAUUAGCAUUAUAUUAGAAAAAAUUGGCCAUCAAGAAAAAAGUUAGUUCCUGGAGAAAAAAAUAUCUAACAAAUAAAUUUAAUAGAUUCAAAUAAAGUAUUUUUAUCGUCAUUGCACAUUAAAUUAGGCAUAAUGAAAAAUUUUGUGAAGGCAAUAAAUAAAUCUGGAUCUGGAUUUGCAUACUUAAAAACAAAAUUUCCACAAAUAUCUGAUGCCAAAAUUAAGGGGGGAAUAUUUGUUGGCCCCCAAAUCAGAGAAUUAAUGCAGGACGACAACUUUAUAGGAACAUUAAAUAAAGAAGAAAAAAGUGUAUGGCUUUCCUUCAAAAAAAUUAAUGAAAAUUUUCUAGGAAAACAUAAAUCAGAAAAUUAUAGUGAACAAACUUUUAAACAGAUGAAGGAAACUUGGCUGCAAUAUGUCAUUGAAAUUGCAUUUUCUAUUAUACAUUUGCAUUUGGAUCUUUUCCCUGGAAAUCUCGGUGACGUGAGCGACGAGCAUGGGGAACGCUUCCACCAAGGCAUAUCAACAAUUGAAAAACGAUAUCAAGGGAAAGAGAUGUCUGCAAUGCUUGCAGAUUAUUGUUGGACACUAAUGAAUGAAAAUAAGGACGCACUUUACAAGUGCCAAGCAGGAUGGAAUCAUUUUUAAACAAUAUUGUGUAUGGGGACAUGUCCCAAGUAGAUUUUACUCACCAAACACCAACUUCAAUAAAAAAGGUAUAACUUUUCAUAAAAAUACAUAAGUAUUUCGUGAAAAGUUCACGCAUCAGCAACUUUUUGAAUUUCGGUAUUCAUGUAUAGGCAUUCAAAGAAGCAAAUAAUUCUAAACGAAUGUAUCUACAUAUUUAUAAAACACUCCUCUAUCUUUUAAGACUAAAUAGAACUCUCUAGCGUUCGUAGUUUAUAUUUUCUCUCAAAAUCGACCGAUUUUACAAAACCUCAUGUUCUUCGAAAACUGGACAUGAUGAAGCAAUUUGGAUUCCAGAUUCGUAUUUAGAACAAGGAACACUAUAAGAAUUUCCUAAUGGAUAUUGCAAAACCUAAAGAAAAUUUUAAUUUGUUGGACAGUGUAAUUUUAAUAGUAAUUAUCAACACUUUAUCUAUCGAGAUAGACUUAUCUAUAAGCUUUUUAAUUUCAAUGUCCAUAUACUGCAAUCUGUUAACUGUGUUGAUGGCCAUCUACUUAUAAAUAAUCAGUGUUUCUCUAUUCGAAAGAUAUAUGCUUGAAGAUAUAACACAAAAAUUGAUUUUUGAAAAAUCUUUUCUCCAAGAAACAAUUUUAUUAUUAUUAUUAUUAUUACUUAUUAUAAACGGGCAAUUUGUUGAAAUACAAUAUAAUAAAAUAUAUGGAUCUAAAAAUAGUCAUUAAAAAGAAAUGGAAUGAAGGAAAAAUGAUGAAUGAAGAUGAAAAUGAAAAUGAGAAAUGAGGAAUGAGGAAUGCAGAAUUAAAAAUGAAAAAAAAUCGCAAUUUCUAAGUAUUGCAUCCCUUAACGUAAGUGACGUCUCCUGGACCACCGCAACAGACGGAUAGGGGUAUCAUGUGUUGAAUCUGAGCUCUGCAUUGGACGCAUUUCUUCAUAAGGGUAGCGCAACCUUCGCAAGCACAUAUGUGACCACAUGGACGAAAUAACACGCCAGCUUUGCGAUCGGAACAGACUACGCACUCCUCGAUCUGCAAAAAACAAAUAUGUCGUUUUUAUCAAUUAAACAUAAAUUUAAUUUCGAUUAAAUGAAAUAGUAUGACGAUACUUUCGCCACCAAUGAAACAUUGCAAAUUAAGAGUUUCAAAAACAUUGAUAUAUAAAGUGAUAUCGAGUAUAAUUAAUAUGUCAUUCAAGUAGAAUUGUAAAAAUAUAUUGUGUGUAUAAAAUAAAAGUAA
Long non-coding RNA from Hylaeus volcanicus, 3314 nucleotides. RefSeq lists it as uncharacterized. The record is from RefSeq and is a predicted model, not a curated record. The transcript is spliced from 5 exons. NCBI's taxonomy places the organism in Eukaryota, Metazoa, Arthropoda, Insecta, Hymenoptera, Colletidae.